Molecule: long non-coding RNA, 942 nt
Filed under: Homo sapiens (human)
Lineage: Eukaryota; Metazoa; Chordata; Mammalia; Primates; Hominidae
Description: long intergenic non-protein coding RNA 1852
Source: RNAcentral
CGCGGCUACCCUCUGCAGGCCCGGCCCGCACAACAGAGGCUGUAUGCGAGAGGAAUGGAAAUGAGCCUCAGGCCCUGCCGAAGGAGCCCCAUCCCCUUCCCCGCGCGGGGCUGAGGAAUGCUGGCCAGCCGGAAAGGAACCCUCGCUGGGAACGCCGCUCUCGCGCCUCUGAAACCCCAUUGAGAAGAACCCUUUGAUGCAAUUAAAGCGCAUUUCAUUGCAGGCCUGGGAGGAGGGAACGACCGGCAAGCUUUUUUCUGUCUCGGACGUGUGUAUGCACCUUUGUGGGCCGGGUUACUUAGAGACCAGGCGGGAACUUGAGCUCCCUCUCUCGCAGACGUUCUGUAACAUCAGAAAAGCGUACCCAUAAACAGAUUGGUUUUCACCAGGGGUGGAACUCAAUUUGGACACGAUCCAGGCUGACCUGCAGGCCGGGGUUCCUACUUUGAAAGGCUCUUUGGUGCGCCUUACACCCACCUUCCCUGCUGUAAAGGUUUAGGCGGAAAAGAAAUUGCGUUUGCAGGAGGAAGUUGUUUCUGAGGUUACUGCUCAGCAUUUUCCAUUUUCUCAGUGGUGGGGUGGGCCGUGUCGCAUAUCCAGAAGUGAUGUCACAGCCAGACCUGCAAAAUGAUGUAACCUGCAAGUGUUGAAGGACGACGAUGGGACAGCUAUUUUGAUACUCGUAUUAUUUUAUAACAUUUCCCUGCUUUUUCCAUUGAGACAACUGUGUGACCUCAGAAAAUCCACAUAGCCUCUCUGAACUUAGUAUUUUUGUGUGUGUGUUAAAAUGAGUAUCACAAAGCCGGAGAACGAAUGUGAUGAAGUUCUGGGUGCUUGUGGAAUUCUUUCUAAGUUGGAGGUGGACACUUUAUCUACCUGCACAGGUGGAAGAUAUGUGGGUCUGGAACUCCGGUAAACAAAAAGAUCCUAUUGGGACCUCUA